This 72-nucleotide small nucleolar RNA is filed under the name Notamacropus eugenii (tammar wallaby). RNAcentral's name for it is "Small nucleolar RNA SNORD101 (ENSMEUG00000017561.1)". It matches the Rfam family "Small nucleolar RNA SNORD101". Rfam says of the family: snoRNA U101 is a member of the C/D class of snoRNA which contain the C (UGAUGA) and D (CUGA) box motifs and guide the 2'-O-methylation of rRNA and snRNAs. The precise target of this family is unknown. Lineage: Eukaryota; Metazoa; Chordata; Mammalia; Diprotodontia; Macropodidae. The record is from RNAcentral.
GUUUGAAUGAUGACUUGAUUGUCGGAUACCCCUUCACUCCGUUUAUGAGUGAUAAAUGAUAGUCUGACAAAC